UUGCUGUGAUAAUAAGAAGAUUAAAGAAGCUGUAUUACAGUGAGCUUUCAUUUAACAUCUCUGUGGGCUGAUAGAUGCUUAAGUAUAAUGAAAGCAUAAGAAAUUUUUGAGUUGCAGCUGUAUAAAGUGGAGGAAUGGCAACUAUUCUAGCAGCUAUGAGCUACCUUUCUGCAUGGGAGUUUCUAGCUAGUGAGCUGGAAAAAAAAUUACAAAUAAUUAAAUAAUGAGCCUGGGAACCACGUAUCCAUCAAUAUAUUUUUAAAUGUUAAUUUUCUAAUAAGUUGGAAUUUCUAUUGCCUCAGAACUUUCCUCAAAGUUCCUUGAAAUAGCCAAUUAUUUAGUUUAAUGCUUUAUUUAGAUGCAACAAAAUUCAAUUAUGGAAGGUUGUUUUGAAUCUAUGGAAUUGUCUUGUAAUUAUCUUGUCCUUUUUCUGAUUUUUAUUUUAUUUCUUUACGAGCUUAUACAGUCAGCUAAGAAAAUAAUAAUAAUGGAUGUGGAAACAGUCAUUGUGACUAUGUGUAAUUCACAUGCCAUAAUCAGAAAAACAGCUCUUAGUUGCAGAUAACAUUGAAUUACCAAACUAAAACUAAGCACAGAGCCUUUUCACAGCUCAAUUCUGACAGCAAGAAAACAAAAUAAAUAGGAUCGUCUGAAACAAUUUCGAGACUAAUAUCCGAAAGAGGACAUUUUUUUUUCUCUUGCAAACCAGCGCACAGUUCUAGUACAAAAAAUAGUAAUCUGCAUGUUCUGUAUUAUUAAAGAAGUCUAAAGCAAGUAUUGCUGCCCACUGCUUUCCAUAGCCCUCUUUUGUUGUCUUCUGGACAAAGGAACAUGCAAGGUGGAAACUGCAAACCAGAGCUUUUAUAGCUCAGUAAAUAGGAUUUCUGCCAUUGCUAUGUAAAGUUGAUAGGCUUUGCAUUGAUAGGCUUUGUGUUGGGCCUGAGCUGGUUUUAGCUUCUUUUAAAAAUUUGCUAGUGGUUGAGCAUUGCCUAAACUGUUUUAGUUAAGGUUCUGUGAAUAUCAUAUAUCGUAAAUAUCUGUCAAACCUAGCUAGUAGGUGAUCAGGCCUAGUGUACUAGGUCGUAUUGUUUGCCUGGCAAAUAACAACCCUUUGCACUACCAGAGGCUGGGGAAAACUCUUGUGCAGCUUUCAAGCUUUAGCUGAAAUCCAUUGAAAAGGAAUUAGGCAGUGAUAAGAAAGCAUUAAAAAACAGUUUCAAGUGGAUCCAAGACUGAGGAGGAAGGGAACUGCAGCACCAGCAACGAGUGGCUCCUGAGUUUUCUACUCUUACUGGUGUGAGAAAUUUAAAUAUUGCAUACAGUGUGAACUUAGUAAUGGAGAUGGAUUCCUUUUUAUAUGAAGAGAUCAUCCGAGACUAUGAUGUAGUCUUCAAACUGCAUGAUCUCUGUUUUUCAUAAGCACUGAAAAUUUAUGCUGCUGGAUGGUGAAUUCCUUUCUGCACAUCUGCUUACUAGUGUCUGCCUCCACGGUGAUGAUACAUGAAAACAGCAGACCUGAUCUGCAGUGCAGAGAGCAGGACUCUACGUCUGAGCUUUAGAAGUCAGCAAUUUACCGCAUGAGCAACCUUGAAGACCUAACAAACCUUAAGAAAAAAAUCAUCUGAAUUUAGCAAGUGAUCAAUGAGGGGGCUACAGGAGAUUUACAGCUGGACCUGAAACUCAAAUACAAAGAAUUGCUCGGGGAUGUGAAGGUUGAGGGCAGCCCUGACUGUGGUGACGAUGUGGAAUUUCAAUUGUGGAAUUUGAAAUUCUGACAGAACUAAACAAGACAAGGAGGAGUAUUACAGCUUAUGAAUCAUUUAGGGAUCUGCGUGGGAGGAUGGACUGGGAGACAGCCCUCAAGAAGGAAAAGGACUCAGGACACCUACUUGUACUUCAAGGACGAUCUCCUUUAAGUACAAGGAUAUUUUGAUCUGUGGAAAGUUAAACAAGUUCAUCUCUGCUAGCUUUUUGCUGAGCUCAGACACAAAAGGCAAGUCCAGAGAAGGUGGAAGCGGGGAUGGGAUCCAUUAGGAUGCUCUGAAGGCUAGAGACUUCAUGAAUGAUGUAUGAGGAGAGGCUGAGUGCUUGAUUUGUUCUGCCUGGAGAAGAGAAGGCUAAAGUGAAGUCUUACUGUUGUCACCAGCCACCUAAUGGAAGACUCUAAUGGAGCCACCUAAUGGAGCAGACUCUUCUUAGAGGAGGAGAAACUAUUGUGAAUUGUUGUCAAACUGGACCUUGCAGUCUUUUCGUUAAAGAAAUUAUCACACCUGCCGUUGCUAUAGCACUAUGCAUGAGAGAAAAAAAUGCAGCUAGGAAAAGACAGAAAGGACCUCUCUGUCUGCAUAAAAGCCGGAUACUUUCUGGACUUGCAUCACUUGUUGUAGUUCCUUGCAGAAAAUAAAUGCAGUUGACAAAAUCCUCCA
This is a long non-coding RNA of Rhea pennata, 2426 nucleotides long. RefSeq lists it as uncharacterized. The record is from RefSeq and is a predicted model, not a curated record. The transcript is spliced from 7 exons. NCBI's taxonomy places the organism in Eukaryota, Metazoa, Chordata, Aves, Rheiformes, Rheidae.